UACAGAGGGUGCAAGCGUUAUCCGGAAUCACUGGGUUUAAAGGGUGCGUAGGCGGGUAGAUAAGUCAGAGGUGAAAGGUAGUCGCUUAACGAUUAAAUUGCCUUUGAUACUGUUUAUCUUGAAUCAAGAUGAGGUUGGCGGAAUGAGACAUGUAGCGGUGAAAUGCAUAGAUAUGUCUUAGAACACCGAUUGCGAAGGCAGCUGACUGGACUUCGAUUGACGCUGAGGCACGAAAGCGUGGGGAUCAAACAGG
This 253-nucleotide ribosomal RNA is filed under the name uncultured bacterium. RNAcentral describes it as "partial 16S ribosomal RNA". It matches the Rfam family "Bacterial small subunit ribosomal RNA", at positions 524 to 776 of the family's 1533-position model. The record is from RNAcentral.